Molecule: ribosomal RNA, 419 nt
Filed under: bacterium
Lineage: Bacteria
Description: partial 16S ribosomal RNA
Rfam family: Bacterial small subunit ribosomal RNA
Source: RNAcentral
UGGGGGAUAUUGCACAAUGGGCGAAAGCCUGAUGCAGCGACGCCGCGUGGGGGAUGAAGGCCUUCGGGUUGUAAACUUCUUUUGCUCUGAACAAGGCGCACCAUGGGGUGUGUUGAGUGUAGGGGUUGAUUAGCGCCGGCUAACUACGUGCCAGCAGCCGCGGUAAUACGUAGGGCGCGAGCGUUGUCCGGAAUUAUUGGGCGUAAAGGGCUUGUAGGUGGCUGGUUGCGUCUGUCGUGAAAGCUCAUGGCUUAACUGUGGGUUUGCGGUGGGUACGGGCUGGCUUGAGUGCAGUAGGGGAGGCUGGAAUUCCUGGUGUAGCGGUGGAAUGCGCAGAUAUCAGGAGGAAUGCCGGUGGCGAAGGCGGGUCUCUGGGCUGUUACUGACACUGAGGAGCGAAAGCAUGGGGAGCGAACAGG